RNAcentral lists this ribosomal RNA (367 nucleotides) under uncultured bacterium. Its description in RNAcentral is "bacterial SSU rRNA". It matches the Rfam family "Bacterial small subunit ribosomal RNA", at positions 338 to 722 of the family's 1533-position model. The record is from RNAcentral.
CCUACGGGAGGCAGCAGUGGGGAAUAUUGGACAAUGGGCGAAAGCCUGAUCCAGCAAUGCCGCGUGAGUGAUGAAGGCCUUAGGGUUGUAAAGCUCUUUUACCCGGGAUGAUGAUGACAGUACCGGGAGAAUAAGCUCCGGCUAACUCCGUGCCAGCAGCCGCGGUAAUACGGAGGGAGCUAGCGUUAUUCGGAAUUACUGGGCGUAAAGCGCACGUAGGCGGCUUUGUAAGUAAGAGGUGAAAGCCUGGUGCUCAACACCAGAACUGCCUUUUAGACUGCAUCGCUUGAAUCCAGGAGAGGUGAGUGGAAUUCCGAGUGUAGAGGUGAAAUUCGUAGAUAUUCGGAAGAACACCAGUGGNGAGCGC